GGGUGGAUCAGUGGCGAACGGGUGAGUAACACGUGAGCAACCUGCCCCUGACUCUGGGAUAAGCGCUGGAAACGGCGUCUAAUACUGGAUACGAGAUGUGACCGCAUGGUCGAUGUCUGGAAAGAUUUUUCGGUUGGGGAUGGGCUCGCGGCCUAUCAGCUUGUUGGUGAGGUAAUGGCUCACCAAGGCGUCGACGGGUAGCCGGCCUGAGAGGGUGACCGGCCACACUGGGACUGAGACACGGCCCAGACUCCUACGGGAGGCAGCAGUGGGGAAUAUUGCACAAUGGGCGGAAGCCUGAUGCAGCAACGCCGCGUGAGGGAUGACGGCCUUCGGGUUGUAAACCUCUUUUAGCAAGGAAGAAGCGAAAGUGACGGUACUUGCAGAAAAAGCGCCGGCUAACUACGUGCCAGCAGCCGCGGUAAUACGUAGGGCGCAAGCGUUAUCCGGAAUUAUUGGGCGUAAAGAGCUCGUAGGCGGUUUGUCGCGUCUGCUGUGAAAUCCCGAGGCUCAACCUCGGGCCUGCAGUGGGUACGGGCAGACUAGAGUGCGGUAGGGGAGAUUGGAAUUCCUGGUGUAGCGGUGGAAUGCGCAGAUAUCAGGAGGAACACCGAUGGCGAAGGCAGAUCUCUGGGCCGUAACUGACGCUGAGGAGCGAAAGGGUGGGGAGCAAACAGGCUUAGAUACCCU
Molecule: ribosomal RNA, 690 nt
Filed under: Microbacterium sp.
Lineage: Bacteria; Bacillati; Actinomycetota; Actinomycetes; Micrococcales; Microbacteriaceae
Description: bacterial SSU rRNA
Rfam family: Bacterial small subunit ribosomal RNA
Source: RNAcentral